Molecule: ribosomal RNA, 465 nt
Filed under: Vreelandella stevensii
Lineage: Bacteria; Pseudomonadati; Pseudomonadota; Gammaproteobacteria; Oceanospirillales; Halomonadaceae
Description: partial 16S ribosomal RNA
Rfam family: Bacterial small subunit ribosomal RNA
Source: RNAcentral
CCUACGGGGAGCUGCAGUGGGGAAUAUUGGACAAUGGGCGAAAGCCUGAUCCAGCCAUGCCGCGUGUGUGAAGAAGGCCUUCGGGUUGUAAAGCACUUUCAGUGGGGAAGAAAGCCUUGGGGCUAAUACCCUCGAGGAAGGACAUCACCCACAGAAGAAGCACCGGCUAACUCCGUGCCAGCAGCCGCGGUAAUACGGAGGGUGCGAGCGUUAAUCGGAAUUACUGGGCGUAAAGCGCGCGUAGGCGGUCUGAUAAGCCGGUUGUGAAAGCCCCGGGCUCAACCUGGGAACGGCAUCCGGAACUGUCAGGCUAGAGUGCAGGAGAGGAAGGUAGAAUUCCCGGUGUAGCGGUGAAAUGCGUAGAGAGCGGGAGGAAUACCAGUGGCGAAGGCGGCCUUCUGGACUGACACUGACGCUGAGGUGCGAAAGCGUGGGUAGCAAACAGGAUUAGAUACCCCGGUAGUC